Molecule: ribosomal RNA, 118 nt
Filed under: Esox lucius (northern pike)
Lineage: Eukaryota; Metazoa; Chordata; Actinopteri; Esociformes; Esocidae
Source: RNAcentral
GCUUACGGCCACACCUCCCUCAGCACGCCCGAUCUCGUCUGAUCUCGGAAGCUAAGCAGGGUCGGCCCGGUUAGGUACUUGGAUGGAGACCGCCUGGGAAUACCAGGUGCUGUAAGCC